Molecule: ribosomal RNA, 2901 nt
Filed under: human gut metagenome
Description: bacterial LSU rRNA
Rfam family: Bacterial large subunit ribosomal RNA
Source: RNAcentral
UUAAGCGACUAAGCGUACACGGUGGAUGCCCUGGCAGUCAGAGGCGAUGAAGGACGUGCUAAUCUGCGAUAAGCGUCGGUAAGGUGAUAUGAACCGUUAUAACCGGCGAUUUCCGAAUGGGGAAACCCAGUGUGUUUCGACACACUAUCAUUAACUGAAUCCAUAGGUUAAUGAGGCGAACCGGGGGAACUGAAACAUCUAAGUACCCCGAGGAAAAGAAAUCAACCGAGAUUCCCCCAGUAGCGGCGAGCGAACGGGGAGCAGCCCAGAGCCUGAAUCAGUGUGUGUGUUAGUGGAAGCGUCUGGAAAGGCGCGCGAUACAGGGUGACAGCCCCGUACACAAAAAUGCACAUGCUGUGAGCUCGAUGAGUAGGGCGGGACACGUGGUAUCCUGUCUGAAUAUGGGGGGACCAUCCUCCAAGGCUAAAUACUCCUGACUGACCGAUAGUGAACCAGUACCGUGAGGGAAAGGCGAAAAGAACCCCGGCGAGGGGAGUGAAAAAGAACCUGAAACCGUGUACGUACAAGCAGUGGGAGCACGCUUCGGCGUGUGACUGCGUACCUUUUGUAUAAUGGGUCAGCGACUUAUAUUCUGUAGCAAGGUUAACCGAAUAGGGGAGCCGAAGGGAAACCGAGUCUUAACUGGGCGUUAAGUUGCAGGGUAUAGACCCGAAACCCGGUGAUCUAGCCAUGGGCAGGUUGAAGGUUGGGUAACACUAACUGGAGGACCGAACCGACUAAUGUUGAAAAAUUAGCGGAUGACUUGUGGCUGGGGGUGAAAGGCCAAUCAAACCGGGAGAUAGCUGGUUCUCCCCGAAAGCUAUUUAGGUAGCGCCUCGUGAAUUCAUCUCCGGGGGUAGAGCACUGUUUCGGCAAGGGGGUCAUCCCGACUUACCAACCCGAUGCAAACUGCGAAUACCGGAGAAUGUUAUCACGGGAGACACACGGCGGGUGCUAACGUCCGUCGUGAAGAGGGAAACAACCCAGACCGCCAGCUAAGGUCCCAAAGUCAUGGUUAAGUGGGAAACGAUGUGGGAAGGCCCAGACAGCCAGGAUGUUGGCUUAGAAGCAGCCAUCAUUUAAAGAAAGCGUAAUAGCUCACUGGUCGAGUCGGCCUGCGCGGAAGAUGUAACGGGGCUAAACCAUGCACCGAAGCUGCGGCAGCGACACUAUGUGUUGUUGGGUAGGGGAGCGUUCUGUAAGCCUGUGAAGGUGUGCUGUGAGGCAUGCUGGAGGUAUCAGAAGUGCGAAUGCUGACAUAAGUAACGAUAAAGCGGGUGAAAAGCCCGCUCGCCGGAAGACCAAGGGUUCCUGUCCAACGUUAAUCGGGGCAGGGUGAGUCGACCCCUAAGGCGAGGCCGAAAGGCGUAGUCGAUGGGAAACAGGUUAAUAUUCCUGUACUUGGUGUUACUGCGAAGGGGGGACGGAGAAGGCUAUGUUGGCCGGGCGACGGUUGUCCCGGUUUAAGCGUGUAGGCUGGUUUUCCAGGCAAAUCCGGAAAAUCAAGGCUGAGGCGUGAUGACGAGGCACUACGGUGCUGAAGCAACAAAUGCCCUGCUUCCAGGAAAAGCCUCUAAGCAUCAGGUAACAUCAAAUCGUACCCCAAACCGACACAGGUGGUCAGGUAGAGAAUACCAAGGCGCUUGAGAGAACUCGGGUGAAGGAACUAGGCAAAAUGGUGCCGUAACUUCGGGAGAAGGCACGCUGAUAUGUAGGUGAAGCGACUUGCUCGUGGAGCUGAAAUCAGUCGAAGAUACCAGCUGGCUGCAACUGUUUAUUAAAAACACAGCACUGUGCAAACACGAAAGUGGACGUAUACGGUGUGACGCCUGCCCGGUGCCGGAAGGUUAAUUGAUGGGGUUAGCGCAAGCGAAGCUCUUGAUCGAAGCCCCGGUAAACGGCGGCCGUAACUAUAACGGUCCUAAGGUAGCGAAAUUCCUUGUCGGGUAAGUUCCGACCUGCACGAAUGGCGUAAUGAUGGCCAGGCUGUCUCCACCCGAGACUCAGUGAAAUUGAACUCGCUGUGAAGAUGCAGUGUACCCGCGGCAAGACGGAAAGACCCCGUGAACCUUUACUAUAGCUUGACACUGAACAUUGAGCCUUGAUGUGUAGGAUAGGUGGGAGGCUUUGAAGUGUGGACGCCAGUCUGCAUGGAGCCGACCUUGAAAUACCACCCUUUAAUGUUUGAUGUUCUAACGUUGACCCGUAAUCCGGGUUGCGGACAGUGUCUGGUGGGUAGUUUGACUGGGGCGGUCUCCUCCUAAAGAGUAACGGAGGAGCACGAAGGUUGGCUAAUCCUGGUCGGACAUCAGGAGGUUAGUGCAAUGGCAUAAGCCAGCUUGACUGCGAGCGUGACGGCGCGAGCAGGUGCGAAAGCAGGUCAUAGUGAUCCGGUGGUUCUGAAUGGAAGGGCCAUCGCUCAACGGAUAAAAGGUACUCCGGGGAUAACAGGCUGAUACCGCCCAAGAGUUCAUAUCGACGGCGGUGUUUGGCACCUCGAUGUCGGCUCAUCACAUCCUGGGGCUGAAGUAGGUCCCAAGGGUAUGGCUGUUCGCCAUUUAAAGUGGUACGCGAGCUGGGUUUAGAACGUCGUGAGACAGUUCGGUCCCUAUCUGCCGUGGGCGCUGGAGAACUGAGGGGGGCUGCUCCUAGUACGAGAGGACCGGAGUGGACGCAUCACUGGUGUUCGGGUUGUCAUGCCAAUGGCACUGCCCGGUAGCUAAAUGCGGAAGAGAUAAGUGCUGAAAGCAUCUAAGCACGAAACUUGCCCCGAGAUGAGUUCUCCCUGACCCUUUAAGGGUCCUGAAGGAACGUUGAAGACGACGACGUUGAUAGGCCGGGUGUGUAAGCGCAGCGAUGCGUUGAGCUAACCGGUACUAAUGAACCGUGAGGCUUAACCUU